RNAcentral lists this ribosomal RNA (695 nucleotides) under Staphylococcus saprophyticus. RNAcentral's name for it is "bacterial SSU rRNA". It matches the Rfam family "Bacterial small subunit ribosomal RNA", at positions 75 to 755 of the family's 1533-position model. Lineage: Bacteria; Bacillati; Bacillota; Bacilli; Caryophanales; Staphylococcaceae. The record is from RNAcentral.
GGAGCUUGCUCCUUUGACGUUAGCGGCGGACGGGUGAGUAACACGUGGGUAACCUACCUAUAAGACUGGGAUAACUUCGGGAAACCGGAGCUAAUACCGGAUAACAUUUGGAACCGCAUGGUUCUAAAGUGAAAGAUGGUUUUGCUAUCACUUAUAGAUGGACCCGCGCCGUAUUAGCUAGUUGGUAAGGUAACGGCUUACCAAGGCGACGAUACGUAGCCGACCUGAGAGGGUGAUCGGCCACACUGGAACUGAGACACGGUCCAGACUCCUACGGGAGGCAGCAGUAGGGAAUCUUCCGCAAUGGGCGAAAGCCUGACGGAGCAACGCCGCGUGAGUGAUGAAGGGUUUCGGCUCGUAAAACUCUGUUAUUAGGGAAGAACAAACGUGUAAGUAACUGUGCACGUCUUGACGGUACCUAAUCAGAAAGCCACGGCUAACUACGUGCCAGCAGCCGCGGUAAUACGUAGGUGGCAAGCGUUAUCCGGAAUUAUUGGGCGUAAAGCGCGCGUAGGCGGUUUCUUAAGUCUGAUGUGAAAGCCCACGGCUCAACCGUGGAGGGUCAUUGGAAACUGGGAAACUUGAGUGCAGAAGAGGAAAGUGGAAUUCCAUGUGUAGCGGUGAAAUGCGCAGAGAUAUGGAGGAACACCAGUGGCGAAGGCGACUUUCUGGUCUGUAACUGACGCUGAUGUGCG